RNAcentral lists this ribosomal RNA (301 nucleotides) under uncultured bacterium. RNAcentral describes it as "partial 16S ribosomal RNA". It matches the Rfam family "Bacterial small subunit ribosomal RNA", at positions 509 to 809 of the family's 1533-position model. The record is from RNAcentral.
CAGUAGCCGCGGUAAUACAGAGGGUGCGAGCGUUAAUCGGAUUUACUGGGCGUAAAGCGUGCGUAGGCGGCUAAUUGAGUCGGAUGUGAAAUCCCCGAGCUUAACUUGGGAAUUGCAUUCGAUACUGGUUAGCUAGAGUGUGGGAGAGGAUGGUAGAAUUCCAGGUGUAGCGGUGAAAUGCGUAGAUAUCUGGAGGAAUACCGAUGGCGAAGGCAGCCAUCUGGCCUAACACUGACGCUGAGGUACGAAAGCAUGGGGAGCAAACAGGAUUAGAUACCCCUGUAGUCCCUGUCUCUUAUAA